RNAcentral lists this ribosomal RNA (429 nucleotides) under bacterium. Its description in RNAcentral is "partial 16S ribosomal RNA". It matches the Rfam family "Bacterial small subunit ribosomal RNA", at positions 355 to 776 of the family's 1533-position model. The record is from RNAcentral. RNAcentral also lists the same sequence under 1 other name.
UAGGGAAUCUUCGGCAAUGGACGAAAGUCUGACCGAGCAACGCCGCGUGAGUGAAGAAGGUUUUCGGAUCGUAAAACUCUGUUGUUAGAGAAGAACAAUGACGUUAGUAACUGAACGUCCCCUGACGGUAUCUAACCAGAAAGCCACGGCUAACUACGUGCCAGCAGCCGCGGUAAUACGUAGGUGGCAAGCGUUGUCCGGAUUUAUUGGGCGUAAAGCGAGCGCAGGCGGUUUCUUAAGUCUGAUGUGAAAGCCCCCGGCUCAACCGGGGAGGGUCAUUGGAAACUGGGAGACUUGAGUGCAGAAGAGGAGAGUGGAAUUCCAUGUGUAGCGGUGAAAUGCGUAGAUAUAUGGAGGAACACCAGUGGCGAAGGCGGCUCUCUGGUCUGUAACUGACGCUGAGGCUCGAAAGCGUGGGGAGCAAACAGG